Molecule: non-coding RNA, 1213 nt
Organism: Sus scrofa (pig)
Lineage: Eukaryota; Metazoa; Chordata; Mammalia; Artiodactyla; Suidae
Source: RefSeq, a predicted model, not a curated record
GCAGCCUGGGCAGCUGCAGCUGGUGUGGUGGGAAAGGCUGUGGGAGCAGCGGAAAUGGGAAAAGCAGGACAGACUGGAGGACAGUCCAGGAAGCACAGCCCAGGGACAGGGCACUGAGGCCGGGGGCGAAGCUGGCAGGGUCCAAGGACACCAGGAACCCGCCGGUCACAGACUCGGGAUCUGGGAGAAUUGCCUAGACUCUUGGGAUCCCCCGGCUCUGACCCUCGGGACACAGGCUUAGAGCCAGGAGGCUGGGCGAGGAGAACCCAGGCCCUUCUGAGCCAGAGCCUCAGCCCAGGAGCGCCUUCCCAGCAAGAGGCAGCCUCGGCCGGGGGCUCGGUGGACCAGGUGGAGCCUGCCGCCAGGUGGGGUGCGUGUGGGAAGAAGCUCCUGGAAUUGGGAAGGCCUUUCUUGCAUCCUCUGCAAAUCAGCAAACCCAUCUCGCUUCCCUCACCUAGAGCCCCCAGCCAAGCGUGGUGGGGUGGGGGGCGGGAGGGGGAACUUGAUUAAUAUGCAAAAUAGGUGUCGGCCCUUCCUCUCCACCCCACUCAAAGCCUGCAAACACCUGGGCCUGCAUCUGAAAGGUCCCAGGGCCUUUUAUAUUGGCAGGUCCUACAAGAAGCGGGCGGGAGCGCCGGGAAAUCCGCCCAGCCUGGGAACUCGUGGCUCCUCCCGGUCCUGGGCUUUGAGCUCCGGCUGCAGCUGCAGCUCUGAUGCUGUCUCGCUGACGGCCCUGCCGGACUCAGACACACCAGCCCCUCCUGCCCCAGGACCUUUGCGCUGAUGGUCCUUCUGCCCGAAUGCGCUCCAGGGGAAAAAGCAAACACGAUCCCCCACGACCACAGACGAUGCAGGCGAGGUUCCCACGUCUGGGGAGACCGCAGGCUCAGCACAUCUGGAGCAAUGGACGAGCCCCACCCUGGGAGAGCCGCCUUCGUGAUCGUGGGCUCUCCUCUGCCAGGUAGUACGGGAACUCAUCCGUCACCGCCGUCACGAUGGUCUCCAGGAAGGCAAACUGGGGAGCGGGCGUCAGAGCUCUGCCCCAGCCGCACACGGAUACACACGCUGAUGACACACACAGCACGGGCGAAUCCCACGGAGACGCGCACGAUACGCAGCCACGCAUCCCACACAGAGACACACGCGGACAGCAGCGUCACGUGCACGCAGGGGCUCAGACACGCGCACGAGACACACCCCCUGGCAAGCACCA